Molecule: ribosomal RNA, 253 nt
Filed under: uncultured bacterium
Lineage: Bacteria
Description: partial 16S ribosomal RNA
Rfam family: Bacterial small subunit ribosomal RNA
Source: RNAcentral
UACGGAGGGUGCAAGCGUUAUCCGGAAUUACUGGGUUUAAAGGGUGCGUAGGCGGCUUGAUAAGUCAGAGGUGAAAGCCUAUCGCUUAACGAUAGAAUUGCCUUUGAUACUGUAAAGCUUGAAAGGGGUUGAGGUCAGCAGAAUGUGGCAUGUAGCGGUGAAAUGCAUAGAUAUGCCAUAGAACACCGAUUGCGAAGGCAGCUGGUUGGGCCUACUUUGACGCUGAGGCACGAAAGCGUGGGGAGCGAACAGG